GGGGGUCCCCGGUGCUCGGAUCUCGAGAGUGCUUAUUGUUCGGUCCGAGCCUGGGUCUCCCUCUU
This 65-nucleotide microRNA precursor is filed under the name Cavia porcellus (domestic guinea pig). RNAcentral's name for it is "microRNA cpo-mir-615 precursor". Its record names the gene cpo-mir-615. It matches the Rfam family "mir-615 microRNA precursor family", at positions 18 to 80 of the family's 85-position model. The record is from miRBase by way of RNAcentral. Lineage: Eukaryota; Metazoa; Chordata; Mammalia; Rodentia; Caviidae.